Molecule: ribosomal RNA, 64 nt
Filed under: Lecanora atra
Lineage: Eukaryota; Fungi; Ascomycota; Lecanoromycetes; Lecanorales; Lecanoraceae
Description: partial 5.8S ribosomal RNA
Rfam family: 5.8S ribosomal RNA
About the family: 5.8S ribosomal RNA (5.8S rRNA) is a component of the large subunit of the eukaryotic ribosome.
Source: RNAcentral
CUUUCAACAACGGAUCUCUUGGUUCCAGCAUCGAUGAAGAACGCAGCGAAAUGCGAUAAGUAAU